This 535-nucleotide long non-coding RNA is filed under the name Ananas comosus (pineapple). RNAcentral describes it as "long non-coding RNA (ACOM_LNC015579)". The record is from RNAcentral. Lineage: Eukaryota; Viridiplantae; Streptophyta; Magnoliopsida; Poales; Bromeliaceae.
CAAUACCAUUCAUUUAAUUCUAUUUAACGAUUCAGAUUUAAUUUUUUUUAAAAUUAUGAUUUGCAAUAGCAAGUCACUAUGAAAGAUAUAUCGGUUACCAGGUAUCCCAAAAAGAAAUAUUUUGUACUGUUAAUACAUGAAUAAUUUAGUAAUUUUUCCUCAAAUAUAUUAUCAAAUUUCUCUUAUCUCUUUGUUUUCUUUUUCUCUCUCUAUCUUUAUUCUUUUUCAACAGUAGAGAUGUAAAGGGGCUCGUAUUCGAGGAGGAUGUUUAAAAACCUGAAUCCGACUAUUAAAUCCAAAACCCGAACCCAAAUCCAAAUCCGACGAAUUUUAGAAAAUCAUAUCUACACCCGUAUCCAACUUAAAUCCGAAACCCGAACCCUAGCCUGAACCUGAAAAUCCGAACUCGAAAUAUUAUUCCUCUUUACAAUAUUUCAAAAUAUAUUCCUAAUCAAUUACCCACAUUCAAUUUUUUAAAAAAUAGCGAUACAAAAUUAAUGUCUAAACUAGAAAAGUUUUAAAAUUUUUUAAAACA